Molecule: ribosomal RNA, 369 nt
Filed under: uncultured bacterium
Lineage: Bacteria
Description: bacterial SSU rRNA
Rfam family: Bacterial small subunit ribosomal RNA
Source: RNAcentral
GGGCCCGCACAAGCGGUGGAGCAUGUGGUUUAAUUCGAUGAUACGCGAGGAACCUUACCAGGGCUUAAAUGUAGUCUGACAGGGGUGGAAACACCUCCUCCUUCGGGCAGAUUACAAGGUGCUGCAUGGUUGUCGUCAGCUCGUGCCGUGAGGUGUCAGGUUAAGUCCUAUAACGAGCGCAACCCCCUGCCGUUAGUUGCCAGCAUGUAAUGAUGGGAACUCUAACAAGACUGCCGGUGCAAACCGUGAGGAAGGUGGGGAUGACGUCAAAUCAUCACGGCCCUUACGUCCUGGGCUACACACGUGCUACAAUGGCGCAUACAGAGGCAGCAACUUGCGAGAGUGAGCGAAUCCCCAAAAGUGCGUCGU